CGCCACGCCACCACUGCGGCUCUGUUACACCGCACCGCCGCCGCAGCUCUACUACUUCGCAACGACGCCGCAGCUCUCUUACAUUGCACCACCUCCUCGCCGUGCUCUUCUGCUUUGCUCCGCGUCUCCUUUGCUAAUCGUGCCGCCUCUACUCCGUCUAUCCCUGCUCAAUUCGCUCUCUCAUCCACGAUAGAACAUUAAAGUGAAGAAU
Arachis ipaensis is the source of this 211-nucleotide non-coding RNA. The record is from RefSeq and is a predicted model, not a curated record. Lineage: Eukaryota; Viridiplantae; Streptophyta; Magnoliopsida; Fabales; Fabaceae.